Molecule: ribosomal RNA, 250 nt
Filed under: uncultured bacterium
Lineage: Bacteria
Description: partial 16S ribosomal RNA
Rfam family: Bacterial small subunit ribosomal RNA
Source: RNAcentral
AACGAACGCUGGCGGCAUGCCUAACACAUGCAAGUCGAACGGGCCGUAGCAAUACGGUCAGUGGCGAACGGGUGAAUAACGCGUGGGAACCUACCCCGGAGUUUGGGAUAACCGCGGGAAACUGCGGCUAAUACCGGCUACGACCUGAGGGUGAAAGGAGCAAUCCGCUCUGGGAGGGGCCCGCGUCCGAUUAGCUAGUUGGUGGGGUAACGGCCUACCAAGGCGAUGAUCGGUAGCUGGUCUGAGAGGA